RNAcentral lists this ribosomal RNA (292 nucleotides) under uncultured bacterium. Its description in RNAcentral is "partial 16S ribosomal RNA". It matches the Rfam family "Bacterial small subunit ribosomal RNA", at positions 505 to 796 of the family's 1533-position model. The record is from RNAcentral.
GUGUCAGCCGCCGCGGUAAUACGUAGGGAGCAAGCGUUGUCCGGAAUCAUUGGGCGUAAAGCGCGCGUAGGUGGCCCGGUAAGUCCGCUCUGAAAGUCAAAGGCUCAACCUUUGAAAGCGGGUGGAUACUGCCAGGCUAGAGUCCGGAAGAGGCGAGUGGAAUUCCUGGUGUAGCGGUGGAAUGCGCAGAUAUCAGGAGGAACACCAACGGCGAAGGCAGCUCGCUGGGACGGUACUGACACUGAGGCGCGAAAGCGUGGGGAGCGAACAGGAUUAGAUACCCUCGUAGUCC